This is a long non-coding RNA of Peromyscus eremicus (cactus mouse), 400 nucleotides long. RefSeq lists it as uncharacterized. The transcript is spliced from 4 exons. The record is from RefSeq and is a predicted model, not a curated record. NCBI's taxonomy places the organism in Eukaryota, Metazoa, Chordata, Mammalia, Rodentia, Cricetidae.
GAGCAUAACAGAGUCUUCUUCCUGAGUACAGCAGUUGUUUCCUUCAUUUAUAGGUAGAUUUUAAGUGUCAGUUCUUUCUAUAGUCACCAAAUAAGCUCCUUCAUUCCAAUUCACAGAUGACAGAGCUUUGAGUUCUUCCAAGAUGCCAGAAUGUCAGUGGUUGAACAAUCAGAAAUGGAAGAAUAAAAGAAAUGUCAGACCGAACCCAAAAGGAUUAUAAGAAAAAAACAGACUUAGAUAUUUAACUUCUUCAUGCCACAUGGACUCCUUGCGAAUGAGAAUUUCAAUUGCCACUCUGCUGGUGUACAAUCUUGUCUUCAAAGUUACGGUCCCUGUCAAAAGGAAUGUAGCUCACAAUUUGUUGAAGUCCUGCUGCAAAUAAAGAUUCCCAGACUUCUUA